UUGAACGCUGGCGGAAUGCUUUACACAUGCAAGUCGAGCGGCAGCGCGGGGGCAACCCUGGCGGCGAGCGGCGGACGGCUGAGUAACGCGUGGGAACGUACCCCAAAGUGAGGAAUAACUGCCCGAAAGGGUGGCUAAUGCCGCAUAUGGUCUUCGGAUUAAAGGAUUUAUCCGCUUUGGGAACGGCCUGCGUACGAUUAGAUAGUUGGUGGGGUAAAGGCCUACCAAGUCUACGAUCGUUAACUGGUCUGAGAGGAUGAUCAGUCAGACUGGAACUGAGAUACGGUCCAGACUCCUACGGGAGGCAGCAGUGAGGAAUCUUCCACAAUGGACGAAAGUCUGAUGGAGCAACGCCGCGUGCAGGAUGAAGGCCUUCGGGUCGUAAACUGCUUUUAUAAGUGAAGAAUAUGACGGUAGCCUAUGAAUAAGCACCGGCUAACUACGU
RNAcentral lists this ribosomal RNA (445 nucleotides) under uncultured bacterium. RNAcentral's name for it is "bacterial SSU rRNA". It matches the Rfam family "Bacterial small subunit ribosomal RNA", at positions 30 to 506 of the family's 1533-position model. The record is from RNAcentral.